ACUUGACACAGUGAAAUUGAGCCGUCGGUGCUGCAGGAGGAGUUGGUGGUACCUGAAAUGACAGCAGAGAAAGAAUGAAGGAGGAUCUGGAAGACCAUGUAGCUUUCUCUCAUUGCUUCACUUGUGUGCCUCCGUUCAAGUGAGAGCCUGCAGGAGAUAGAGAUAUGUUUCUCUGUUUGCUGUACAGCUUUCAAUGAAGAAGGGCAAUUUCCAACUACUCGUUGUCCACAGGCACACAGUCUGCGCCCACUGUCAGCUGAGUGCUCUGAGUACAGUCAGUUCUUUGCCAUAUCUGCAAAGUCACCGGUUUUUAUCCUUAAGUGACAAAGACUGUUCAGUUUCUGCAUGUUACAGCUAUGUGAGCUCAUCCACAUCCUGCACACACUCCACUUGAACAUCAAGGGGAGCAGGGGGUAGUCUUGCAGAUGGAGUAAUGCAGGAAUUCCCACAGCAUCUUGAGGUGUAUCCAGUUCAUCAUCUGAAACCUCUGCAACCAAACUGGAAGGGACCAGUCCUCUUGUGCCAUUUGUCAGCUCUCCCUACAACCAGGGAGAGAAACCAGCCAGCACAGGGCACAGCCAGAGCCAGACCAGGGGAGAAACACUCCUGCAGGCUCCUACCACACAGGACCCCGUUCAUCACCCCCAGGUGGCUUUGUUGCAUAAGGGCAAAGCUCACAACUCUCUGGGAACUGCAAGUGGUGGGAGCUGAGCAGCAUCACAGAGGUCUGCAAGUACCUUCUCUGCACGGCGCUGGAACAACUCUCCAUACCCCAUUUUCAGAGAGCCAUCUCUGGCUUCUUUUACACGUGCACUGUGCCCACACGCUCAGGUUUGGCUGCUGACCAGUGUGCAAGGGCAGGCAGCAAGAGCCUGCAGGUACACAGUGACUCAGGUGAGUGAAGCUGGAUGAGCGCAGCACAGAAAUUACCUGGCAUGCCAGUUGUUGGCCCUGCCUGCGUUCUACUGUCUGAGACUGGCAGUGUGGGACACUGUGGGACUAGCUGCCUUCCUGCAGUGCAUCCUGCUCAGUUUCCUGGUCAGUUCCUUUAGAAAGAAAGCAGGACAGCAGGAACGCAUGUGAUGUGCUCUCAUCGGGAACUGAGCUACUCCAAUCCUGAGCUCAGGCAAAGUCUGCUGCUCCCAGCCCCCACAUCCACUGUCACCCCCUCUGUUGCCCAAGAACAUUUGGGACCUCCCAAGAACUGGAGGAUGCUGACCCUCUGAUGCCUCCUCAGCUCCUCUGCAAGGCCCUCACACCUUGUGUAGUGAGCAUCACCAACCAUCACAGCCAGCUAUCUGCAGGCUGAAAUUCAAGCUCCAGCACAAGUACCUUCAGAAUCAGCAUCUCCAGCCCAUGGCUUUCGCUGUCUGGCACAUCUCCAAGGCAGUUUCUCCCUCUGGGGAAGUCAGCAGUGCCCCCAAAGACUUUUCUGUCUCAGUAAGUCUCUGCCCACUGCCUCUUCUGGAGGAAAGCCCCGAGGAAAAGCUUUGCCACAGAGCCCCAUAAGACCCCUCUGCUGCUCUUCAUGGCCGAGCAGCUGGGAGCAAUUGCUCCACAUGCCGUGACUCAGGCUCACCCUCCUUUGUGCUCCAAUCCUGCCAGAGCUGAUGUGGGGGAGGAGGGGCUCCCACCUUCGGCCUCGGUAUGUUCUUUUUUGUACGGCCUGUCUAAGUGUGACCGCCAUCAUCUCUUGUCUUUGAGGGAGCGGAUGAGGACGAAGGUGAAACUCUCCUGGGGUUGUUUGUUUACGAUGUGGACGGAGAGAUCGCCCACACCUUCCACGUGCAUGUAUGGCCAGUGCGUGAGGCAGGCUGCUGGGAGGGAAACCGUCCUCCUGCGGGUGUGGAGGGACGACUGCUGGCGGGAGGGAGGAGUGCAGCUGCCUUCCUCCAUCAGCAGCGCCGUUCUGGCGUCCCACGGCAGCCCAGGGAGCGGAGCAGAGCAAGUCAGGGUUCUGCCGCUGGCAAAGGGAGCCGUGCGGAUGUGCCGCGGCGCUUUCCGCUUUGUAUCAGCAGGAGGAGCCCCGCAAAGCCUUCGGCCGUCUCAGAUUGGAUGCGCGGAGCAACUGAGGAAACGCAGAACGCACCUGCGUGUGCCGAGUAGAAAUUCACGGCAAUUCGUAAAAGACAGCAGAGAUUUUUAGUAGCAAUAAUGAGAAUAAAAGGUCGGUUACUUUC
Long non-coding RNA from Tympanuchus pallidicinctus (lesser prairie-chicken), 2180 nucleotides. RefSeq lists it as uncharacterized. The record is from RefSeq and is a predicted model, not a curated record. Lineage: Eukaryota; Metazoa; Chordata; Aves; Galliformes; Phasianidae. The transcript has 2 exons.